This 287-nucleotide unclassified non-coding RNA is filed under the name plant metagenome. RNAcentral's name for it is "partial contains small subunit ribosomal RNA, internal transcribed spacer 1, and 5.8S ribosomal RNA". The stretch from base 1 to 53 matches the Rfam family "Eukaryotic small subunit ribosomal RNA", at positions 1778 to 1831 of the family's 1831-position model. The record is from RNAcentral.
GGAAGUAAAAGCGUAACAAGGUCUCCGUUGGUGAACCAGCGGAGGGAUCAUUACCGAGUUUACAACUCCCAAACCCAAUGUGAACGUUACCAAACUGUUGCCUCGGCGGGAUCUCUGCCCCGGGCGCGUCGCAGCCCCGGACCAAGGCGCCCGCCGGAGGAAAAACAACCAAAACUCUUUUUGUAUACCCCCUCGCGGGUUUUUUUACUUCUGAGAACUUCUCGGCGCCCCUUUGCGGGCGUUUCGAAAAUGAAUCAAAACUUUCAACAACGGAUCUCUUGGUUCUG